This is an RNA transcript of Diceros bicornis minor, 901 nucleotides long. RefSeq lists it as uncharacterized. The record is from RefSeq and is a predicted model, not a curated record. The transcript has 3 exons. Lineage: Eukaryota; Metazoa; Chordata; Mammalia; Perissodactyla; Rhinocerotidae.
GAACCGGGGUUUGCACCGCCCAGCAGCCAGUGCGCGUGCGCGUCGCGCCGUGCUUAAAGAGGCAGCGCCGAGAAAAUUCCCGUAAACCGGAAGCUCCUUCAGAAAUGAGGUGGCGGCAGGGCGGUGCCCCCGAGCACGGUAGGCAGUAAGUGCUUCGAAGACUCGUGCCCUGAAUACAGGAAAACCGGCAGAUUGCAGGAAGCCUCCGUUUCAACUCAGUCGGGUCCUCCAGUUGUCUCGCAGGCUUGUGCAGACACCCGUGUUUAUCUCUGUUUUCUUGAGGAUCCUGCUGUACUUAGAGCUGGAGACUCUUAGAGUUGAAGAUGUAAGGAAGGUCCAGCCCCUGCAGUGCACUGACCACCUUCUCCCUGGUCGGGUUUGCCUUCUCUGCAGCCUGCCCCUCGAGAUGUGUGUGCCCUGGUGCAUUGAUACCCGGAAAGAUUGGCCCUAAGCUAACAUCUGUUGCCAGUCUUCCUCUUUUUGUAUGUGAGCCGCCACCACAGCAUGGCUACUGACAGACGAGUGGUGUAGGUCCACACCCAGGAACUGAACCCAGGCCACUGAAGUGGAGCGUGCCAAACAUUAACCACUAGGCCAUCAUGGCUGGCUCAUCAACAAUUCCAUUUUUAACAUUAUUCACCAUAGCCAAGAAGUGGAAGGAACCCAAGUGCCCAUCGACUGAUGAAUGGAUAAAGAAGAUGUGGUAUAUAUACACAAUGGAAUACUACUCAGCCAUAAAGGAAGACAAAAUUGCCCCACUUGCAACAAUAUGGAUGGACCUGGAGGGUAUUAUGUUAAGUGAAAUAAGCCAGAGAGAGAAAGACAAACACCACAUGAUUUCACUCACAGGUGGAAGAUUAACUAACACAUGGACAGAGAGAACUGUUUGGUGAUUACCAAG